GGCUGCGUAGUGUAGGGGUUAUCACAUCAGAUUCUGACUUUGGGAACUCCGGUUUGAUGCCGGCUGCAGCCU
Non-coding RNA from Zopfochytrium polystomum, 72 nucleotides. The record is from the annotation of a GenBank genome assembly. NCBI's taxonomy places the organism in Eukaryota, Fungi, Chytridiomycota, Chytridiomycetes, Chytridiales, Chytridiaceae.